Molecule: ribosomal RNA, 428 nt
Filed under: uncultured bacterium
Lineage: Bacteria
Description: partial 16S ribosomal RNA
Rfam family: Bacterial small subunit ribosomal RNA
Source: RNAcentral
GUGGGGAAUAUUGGGCAAUGGGCGAAAGCCUGACCCAGCAACGCCGCGUGAGGGAAGAAGGCCUUCGGGUUGUAAACCUCUGUCCUUGGUGACGAAACAAAUGACGGUAGCCAAGGAGGAAGCCCCGGCUAACUACGUGCCAGCAGCCGCGGUAAUACGUAGGGGGCGAGCGUUGUCCGGAAUUACUGGGCGUAAAGGGUGCGUAGGUGGCCUUUUAAGUUGGAUGUGAAAUACCCGGGCUUAACUUGGGGGGUGCAUCUAAUACUGGAGGGCUAGAGUGCAGGAGAGGGAAGCGGAAUUCCUAGUGUAGCGGUGAAAUGCGUAGAUAUUAGGAGGAACACCAGUGGCGAAGGCGGCUUUCUGGACUGUAACUGACACUGAGGCACGAAAGCGUGGGGAGCAAACAGGAUUAGAUACCCUUGUAGUCC